RNAcentral lists this long non-coding RNA (336 nucleotides) under Spirodela polyrhiza (greater duckweed). RNAcentral's name for it is "long non-coding RNA (SPOL_LNC001823)". The record is from RNAcentral. Lineage: Eukaryota; Viridiplantae; Streptophyta; Magnoliopsida; Alismatales; Araceae.
UAGGAAAUGGGAAGCUCAAUUUGUCAACUAACCCCCAAGUGACCCAUAGUAAAAAGAUGUCAUGGAUCAUGUUGACAUGUGGGGUGAGUAGCCCUUCUAUGAUGGCACCGCUACAUCCACCUUAUUGCACUUCCCAAUUAAGAAGCUUACAUUAAUUGAGAAAAUAAUUGAUGGAUAUGUGCCAAACUUUUAUCAUUGCUAAAAAUCUUUUGUUCGAGAACCCCCUUCAAAUGAUUCAUUAAGCUCUCUACUUCUUAACUCAUACAAAUAUGUUUGUGAAGCUCUUCUAACUCUCUUUCUACAUUAUUCAUCUUGAUAUUCAUUUGUCAUUUUGUC